GAUGAACGCUGGCGGCGUGCCUAAUACAUGCAAGUCGAACGCGAGCCUUCGGGCUCGAGUGGCGAACGGGUGAGUAAUACGUAAGCAACCUGGCCUUUACAGGGGAUAACUGAUGGAAACGUCAGCUAAGACCGCAUAGGUACAGAGAUCGCGUGAUAACUGUAUUAAAAGUGCUACGGGACUGGUAGAGGAUGGGCUUACGGCGCAUUAGCUAGUUGGAGGGGUAACGGCCCACCAAGGCGACGAUGCGUAGCCGACCUGAGAGGGUGACCGGCCACACUGGGACUGAGACACGGCCCAGACUCCUACGGGAGGCAGCAGUAGGGAAUUUUCGGCAAUGGGGGGAACCCUGACCGAGCAACGCCGCGUGAAGGAAGAAGGAAUUCGUUCUGUAAACUUCUGUUAUAAAGGAAGAACGGCACAUAUAGGGAAUGAUAUGUGAGUGACGGUACUUUAUGAGGAAGCCACGGCUAACUACGUGCCAGCAGCCGCGGUAAUACGUAGGUGGCGAGCGUUAUCCGGAAUUAUUGGGCGUAAAGAGGGAGCAGGCGGCAGCAAGGGUCUGUGGUGAAAGGCUGAAGCUUAACUUCAGUGUGCCAGAGAAACCGGGCAGCUAGAGUGCAGGAGAGGAUCGUGGAAUUCCAUGUGUAGCGGUGAAAUGCGUAGAUAUAUGGAGGAACACCAGUGGCGAAGGCGACGAUCUGGACUGCAACUGACGCUCAGUCCCGAAAGCGUGGGGAGCAAAUAGGAUUAGAUACCCUAGUAGUCCACGCCGUAACC
Molecule: ribosomal RNA, 780 nt
Filed under: uncultured bacterium
Lineage: Bacteria
Description: bacterial SSU rRNA
Rfam family: Bacterial small subunit ribosomal RNA
Source: RNAcentral